RNAcentral lists this transfer RNA (65 nucleotides) under Cyrtodactylus loriae. RNAcentral describes it as "tRNA-Ala". The record is from RNAcentral. Lineage: Eukaryota; Metazoa; Chordata; Lepidosauria; Squamata; Gekkonidae.
GAGGGUUUAGCUUAAUUAAAGUGUCUGAGUUGCAAUCAGGAGAUGUAUGUGUGAUUACAGCCCUU